RNAcentral lists this ribosomal RNA (497 nucleotides) under uncultured bacterium. RNAcentral's name for it is "partial 16S ribosomal RNA". It matches the Rfam family "Bacterial small subunit ribosomal RNA", at positions 28 to 507 of the family's 1533-position model. The record is from RNAcentral.
GAUGAACGCUGGCGGCGUGCCUAAUACAUGCAAGUCGAGCGAACAGACGAGGAGCUUGCUCCUCUGACGUUAGCGGCGGACGGGUGAGUAACACGUGGAUAACCUACCUAUAAGACUGGGAUAACUUCGGGAAACCGGAGCUAAUACCGGAUAAUAUAUUGAACCGCAUGGUUCAAUAGUGAAAGACGGUUUUGCUGUCACUUAUAGAUGGAUCCGCGCCGCAUUAGCUAGUUGGUAAGGUAACGGCUUACCAAGGCAACGAUGCGUAGCCGACCUGAGAGGGUGAUCGGCCACACUGGAACUGAGACACGGUCCAGACUCCUACGGGAGGCAGCAGUAGGGAAUCUUCCGCAAAGGGCGAAAGCCUGACGGAGCAACGACGCGUGAGUGAUGAAGGUCUUCGGAUCGUAAAACUCUGUUAUUAGGGAAGAACAAAUGUGUAAGUAACUAUGCACGUCUUGACGGUACCUAAUCAGAAAGCCACGGCUAACUACGUG